AGCUCCAAUAGCGUAUAUUAAUGUUGUUGCAGUUAAAAAGCUCGUAGUUGGAUUCCUGGCACGGGGUAGCCGGUCCGCCUUGCAAAAGGUGCGCACUGCGCGGCCUCGGCCAUCCUUGGGAAGAGCGGUCCUGGCAUUCAGUUGUCGGGGUCGGGAUUCCCGACGUUUACUGUGAAAAAAUCAGAGUGUUCAACGCAGGCUUACGCCUUGAAUACAUUAGCAUGGAAUAAUGAGAUAGGACCUUGGCGGUCUAUUUUGUUGGUUUGCACGCCGAGGUAAUGAUUAAAAGGGACGGUUGGGGUUCUUCGUAUUCAAUUGUCAGAGGUGAAAUUCUUGGAUUUAUGGAAGACGAACUGCUGCGAAAGCGUCGAACAAGGACGUUC
Molecule: ribosomal RNA, 383 nt
Filed under: uncultured eukaryote
Lineage: Eukaryota
Description: SSU rRNA
Rfam family: Eukaryotic small subunit ribosomal RNA
Source: RNAcentral